AUACGAAGGUCCCGAGCGUUAUUCGGAAUCACUGGGCGUAAAGGGAGCGUAGGCUGUAGGGUAAGUCAGAUGUGAAAUCUCAGAGCUCAACUCUGAAACUGCAUCCGAUACUGCCGUACUAGAGUAAUGGAGGGGUAACUGGAAUUCUCGGUGUAGCAGUGAAAUGCGUAGAUAUCGAGAGGAAGACCAACGGCGAAGGCAGGUUACUGGACAUUUACUGACGCUGAGGCUCGAAGGCUAGGGUAGCGAAAGGGAUUAGAAACCCUAGUAGUCC
RNAcentral lists this ribosomal RNA (274 nucleotides) under uncultured bacterium. Its description in RNAcentral is "partial 16S ribosomal RNA". It matches the Rfam family "Bacterial small subunit ribosomal RNA", at positions 523 to 796 of the family's 1533-position model. The record is from RNAcentral.